CGAUACUGACGUGCAAAUCGU
Molecule: non-coding RNA, 21 nt
Filed under: Arabidopsis thaliana (thale cress)
Lineage: Eukaryota; Viridiplantae; Streptophyta; Magnoliopsida; Brassicales; Brassicaceae
Source: RNAcentral